This 638-nucleotide ribosomal RNA is filed under the name uncultured bacterium. Its description in RNAcentral is "bacterial SSU rRNA". It matches the Rfam family "Bacterial small subunit ribosomal RNA", at positions 78 to 732 of the family's 1533-position model. The record is from RNAcentral.
GAAGUUUUAGUGACUGAGUGGCGGACGGGUGAGUAACGCGUGGGUAACCUGCCUCACACAGGGGGAUAACAGUUGGAAACGGCUGCUAAUACCGCAUAAGCGCACAGUACCGCAUGGUACAGUGUGAAAAACUCCGGUGGUGUGAGAUGGACCCGCGUCUGAUUAGCUAGUUGGCAGGGCAACGGCCUACCAAGGCGACGAUCAGUAGCCGACCUGAGAGGGUGACCGGCCACAUUGGGACUGAGACACGGCCCAAACUCCUACGGGAGGCAGCAGUGGGGAAUAUUGCACAAUGGGGGAAACCCUGAUGCAGCGACGCCGCGUGAGCGAAGAAGUAUUUCGGUAUGUAAAGCUCUAUCAGCAGGGAAGAAGAAAUGACGGUACCUGACUAAGAAGCACCGGCUAAAUACGUGCCAGCAGCCGCGGUAAUACGUAUGGUGCAAGCGUUAUCCGGAUUUACUGGGUGUAAAGGGAGCGCAGGCGGAAGGCUAAGUCUGAUGUGAAAGCCCGGGGCUCAACCCCGGUACUGCAUUGGAAACUGGUCAUCUAGAGUGUCGGAGGGGUAAGUGGAAUUCCUAGUGUAGCGGUGAAAUGCGUAGAUAUUAGGAGGAACACCAGUGGCGAAGGCGGCUUACUGG